This is a long non-coding RNA of Seriola aureovittata, 1290 nucleotides long. RefSeq lists it as uncharacterized. The transcript is spliced from 2 exons. The record is from RefSeq and is a predicted model, not a curated record. NCBI's taxonomy places the organism in Eukaryota, Metazoa, Chordata, Actinopteri, Carangiformes, Carangidae.
UAAUCCCUACGCCCGAGGAUCUAAAGACCCAGUGGAUUAAUUUUAUUUUUGAUGGAAAUGUUCCCGCUCCAACUCCGAAAGUGUUGUACUGUGUGCUAACCAUUUCACCUCGGACUGCUUUCUCAACCUGGGCCAGGACAACGCAGGAUUUCCUACAAGUCUCAAGAUAAAGCUUGGAUCAGUACCGACUGUCUGUGACCCAACUUUGAACUUCGGAGCUGCCAUCUAUACAGCUUCCUGCAACAGGGGAUGUUGCAUGCCAGACUGACCCACUGUAGGCACACAGUUAUCCUUGAAGAUCUUCAGCCUCACAUCAGAAGUACAGGUCUGUAGCCAUCUGAAGUGCAUCUACUUUUGAUAAACCUAACAGUCAUUUAUCAGUCUUGGAAUAAUGUGCAGGUAAAUGAAGCUGUGGUUACUUAGAACUUGUGAGAGUGUGUAGGCUAAGGUUUCUGUCAUCAUCUGUCACCUGGCUGCCAUGUCCUACAAUGAAAAUGCUGACCGACCACAAGCCCAAACAAAAGAAGGUGAACCACUGUUCAAGGUCCAAUUUCCAAAGGCCAUGAAGGGAGAAUGCAGAGCUACACCAGUUAAGACUGAGGCGACAUUCUAUAAGUGUUAUAUUAUUUUAUUUUUCAACCAAAAAAUGUUUUGUACACAUUGUAUUAAAUAUUGCACAUAUAAUGUUAUGACAGUUCCAUCAAUAACAAAAUACAGUAAAGAAAAUGUCAGGAGGUAUUUAGAAACAGAGUCAGUCAUUGUUUUGUAAAAAAAAAAAAAAAAGUGAAAAAUGUAAAAAAAAUCUUUUGUGUUUUAUCAAACAGGGAAUGUGGUGGACCUCAUAUUUGAAAAAGUCUUUGUUGACCUAGGACCAUACACAGAAGCUGCUUUGGCCAUCCCCAUCCCAGAGGACCUCACUGCACAGUUGGAGCGGCCUGAGAAGGAGGAGGUCAUAUCCAGCUCUGUGUCCCGGUUCUAUCAUGGGCCAGUCUAAAACCCACAUACCGGCCUGUGGCGUCAGGAAACACGGCAUGGAUGCGUAGGACCACGCAGGCUGGAAUGACGACCCAGAUUCUGCAACCAAGGAAGCACCAGCUCACAAAGCUCCUAUAGGCUAGAUACCUGUACUGACUAAAACAACUGGACAGGGCAUUUAGUCUUGCAAACAUAUAUCUAUGUUGUGUCUCACAAUUUUUUAUAUGGAUCCAGUGAAUCCUACAGUUUUUUCAUCAUCACUGAUUAUAACUGCCUCAUUUGAUGUAAAUAAAUGCUUGAUUGUUACUAAAGAAA